Molecule: ribosomal RNA, 1216 nt
Filed under: uncultured Rhizaria
Lineage: Eukaryota
Description: SSU rRNA
Rfam family: Eukaryotic small subunit ribosomal RNA
Source: RNAcentral
CGGUAACUCUAGCUCCAAUAGCGUAUACUAAAGUUGUUGCAGUUAAAAAGCUCGUAGUUGGAUUUCUGCGGGGACGGAGCGGCCGGACGCAACUUGCGUCUCGAGCUAGCGCUUUCCCCGCAUCCUGCCGCGAACCGUGCUACCAUUAGUUUGGUGGCGCUGGGGAUCGGCUCGAUUACUUUGAGAAAAAUAGAGUGUUCAAAGCAGGCCACACGCCUUGAAUAAGUUAGCAUGGAAUAAUGACUAAGGACUUUGGUUCUUUUCGUUGGUGUUCGGGACUGAAGUAAUGAUUGAUAGGGACAGUUGGGGCGGUCCGUAUUCCAAAGCGAGAGGUGAAAUUCUUAGACCUUCGGAAGACGAACAGCUGCGAAAGCGUUCCGCAAGGAUGUUCCCUUUGAUCAAGAACGAAAGUUGGGGGAUCGAAGACGAUCAGAUACCGUCGUAGUCUCAACUAUAAACUAUACCAGCUAGGGAUCGGCCAACGUUUAAUUAUUCGACUUGGUCGGCACCUUAUGAGAAAUCAAAGCAUCUGGGUUCCGGGGGGAGUAUGGUCGCAAGGCUGAAACUUAAAGGAAUUGACGGAAGGGCACCACCAGGCGUGGAGCCUGUGGCUUAAUUUGACUCAACACGGGAAAACUUACCAGGUCCAGACAUAGGAAGGAUUGACAGAUUGAUAGCUCUUUCUUGAUUCUGUGGGUGGUGGUGCAUGGCCGUUUUUAGUCGGUGAAGUGAUUUGUCUGCUUAAUUGCGUUAACGGACGAGACCCCAGCCUGCUAAAUAGCGCGGCCGAGCUUUGCUCGGUACGAGCUUCUUAGAGGGACCAUGAUGCGCGAUAGCACAAGGAAGUUUGGGGCAACAACAGGUCUGUGAUGCCCUUAGAUGUUCUGGGCCGCACACGGGCUACACUGGCGCCUGCAACGAGCAUAUCAGCUGGCCCGAGAGGGUCUUGGCUAAUCUUUGGAACCGGCGCCGUGCUUGGGAUUGACCAUUGCAAUUGUUGGUCAUGCAACGAGGAAUGCCUUGUAAACGCGAGUCAUCAGCUCGCAUUGAAUACGUCCCUGCCCUUUGUACACACCGCCCGUCGCUCCUACCGAUGAAUGUUCCGAUGAAAUUUUCGGAGAGCGCCGGAGAACGGGGCUCUGCCCUGCAGAACUGGAGGCUCAAAGUCACUUAAAUCUGAACAUUUCGAGGAAGGAGAAGUCGUAACAAGGUAACC